UACGUAGGGACCAAGCGUUGUUCGGAUUUACUGGGCGUAAAGGGCGCGUAGGCGGCUUAACAAGUCACUUGUGAAAUCUCCGGGCUUAACUCGGAACGGCCAAGUGAAACUGUUAUGCUAGAGUGCAGAAGGGGCAAUCGGAAUUCUUGGUGUAGCGGUGAAAUGCGUAGAUAUCGAGAGGAACACCUGCGGCGAAGGCGGGUUGCUGGGCUGACACUGACGCUGAGGCGCGAAAGCCAGGGGAGCGAACGGG
RNAcentral lists this ribosomal RNA (253 nucleotides) under uncultured bacterium. RNAcentral describes it as "partial 16S ribosomal RNA". It matches the Rfam family "Bacterial small subunit ribosomal RNA", at positions 524 to 776 of the family's 1533-position model. The record is from RNAcentral.